CAGGCGCGCAAAUUACCCAAUCCCGAUACGGGGAGGUAGUGACAAUAAAUACUGAUACGGGGCUCUUUUGGGUCUCGUAAUUGGAAUGAGAAUAAUUUAAAUCCCUUAACGAGGAACAAUUGGAGGGCAAGUCUGGUGCCAGCAGCCGCGGUAAUUCCAGCUCCAAUAGCGUAUAUUAAAGUUGUUGCAGUUAAAAAGCUCGUAGUUGAACCUUGGGUCUGGCUGGCCGGUCCGCCUCACCGCGAGUACUGGUCCGGCUGGACCUUUCCUUCUGGGGAACCUCAUGGCCUUCACUGGCUGUGGGGGGAACCAGGACUUUUACUGUGAAAAAAUUAGAGUGUUCAAAGCAGGCCUUUGCUCGAAUACAUUAGCAUGGAAUAAUAGAAUAGGACGUGCGGUUCUAUUUUGUUGGUUUCUAGGACCGCCGUAAUGAUUAAUAGGGAUAGUCGGGGGCGUCAGUAUUCAGCUGUCAGAGGUGAAAUUCUUGGAUUUGCUGAAGACUAACUACUGCGAAAGCAUUCGCCAAGGAUGUUUUCAUUAAUCAGGGAACGAAAGUUAGGGGAUCGAAGACGAUCAGAUACCGUCGUAGUCUUAACCAUAAACUAUGCCGACCAGGGA
This 618-nucleotide ribosomal RNA is filed under the name uncultured fungus. RNAcentral describes it as "SSU rRNA". It matches the Rfam family "Eukaryotic small subunit ribosomal RNA", at positions 429 to 1052 of the family's 1831-position model. Lineage: Eukaryota; Fungi. The record is from RNAcentral.